Molecule: ribosomal RNA, 475 nt
Filed under: uncultured organism
Description: partial 16S ribosomal RNA
Rfam family: Bacterial small subunit ribosomal RNA
Source: RNAcentral
ACUCCUACGGGAGGCAGCAGUGGGGAAUUUUGGACAAUGGGCGAAAGCCUGAUCCAGCAAUGCCGCGUGAGUGAAGAAGGCCUUCGGGUUGUAAAGCUCUUUUGUCAGGGAAGAAACGGUGAAAGCUAAUAUCUUUUGCUAAUGACGGUACCUGAAGAAUAAGCACCGGCUAACUACGUGCCAGCAGCCGCGGUAAUACGUAGGGUGCAAGCGUUAAUCGGAAUUACUGGGCGUAAAGCGUGCGCAGGCGGUUUUGUAAGUCUGAUGUGAAAUCCCCGGGCUCAACCUGGGAAUUGCAUUGGAGACUGCAAGGCUAGAAUCUGGCAGAGGGGGGUAGAAUUCCACGUGUAGCAGUGAAAUGCGUAGAUAUGUGGAGGAACACCGAUGGCGAAGGCAGCCCCCUGGGUCAAGAUUGACGCUCAUGCACGAAAGCGUGGGGAGCAAACAGGAUUAGAAACCCUUGUAGUCCCAUGAU